RNAcentral lists this ribosomal RNA (385 nucleotides) under uncultured bacterium. Its description in RNAcentral is "bacterial SSU rRNA". It matches the Rfam family "Bacterial small subunit ribosomal RNA", at positions 28 to 414 of the family's 1533-position model. The record is from RNAcentral.
GACGAACGCUGGCGGCGUGCUUAACACAUGCAAGUCGAGCGGUAAGGCCCUUUCGGGGGUACACGAGCGGCGAACGGGUGAGUAACACGUGGGUGACCUGCCCUCAGCUCUGGGAUAAGCCUGGGAAACCGGGUCUAAUACUGGAUAUGACUCCAUGACGCAUGUUGUGGGGUGGAAAGCCUUGUGCGGCUGAGGAUGGGCCCGCGGCCUAUCAGCUUGUUGGUGGGGUGAGGCCUACCAAGGCGACGACGGGUAGCCGGCCUGAGAGGGCGACCGGCCACACUGGGACUGAGACACGGCCCAGACUCCUACGGGAGGCAGCAGUGGGGAAUUUUGGACAAUGGGGGCGAACCCUGAUCCAGCCAUGCCGCGUGAGUGAAGAAGG